AUCGCUUCUCAGCCUUUUGGCUAAGAUCAAGUGUAGUAUCUGUUCUUAUCAGUUUAAUAUCUGAUAUGUCCUCUAUUUGAGGACUAUGAACAACAACUACCAGACUUUUAGAAGACAUCUGAAGGCAGCCCUGUUUAGGGAAGCUUUUAAUGUUUGAUGUAUUAUAGUAUUUUAAUAUUUUUUGGGAAGCCGCC
Small nuclear RNA from Podarcis raffonei (Aeolian wall lizard), 194 nucleotides. RefSeq annotates it as U2 spliceosomal RNA. The record is from RefSeq and is a predicted model, not a curated record. Lineage: Eukaryota; Metazoa; Chordata; Lepidosauria; Squamata; Lacertidae. The transcript has a single exon.